UACAGAGGGUGCAAGCGUUAAUCGGAAUUACUGGGCGUAAAGCGCACGCAGGCGGUUGGUUAAGUCAGAUGUGAAAGCCCCGGGCUCAACCUGGGAAUUGCAUUUGAAACUGGCCAACUAGAGUAUGUGAGAGGGGGGUAGAAUUCCAAGUGUAGCGGUGAAAUGCGUAGAGAUUUGGAGGAAUACCAGUGGCGAAGGCGGCCCCCUGGCACAAUACUGACGCUCAGGUGCGAAAGCGUGGGGAGCAAACAGGAUUAGAUACCCUGGUAGUCCACGCCGUAAACGAUGUCUACUAGCUGUUCGUGGUCUUGUACUGUGAGUAGCGCAGCUAACGCACUAAGUAGACCGCCUGGGGAGUACGGUCGCAAGAUUAAAACUCAAAUGAAUUGACGGGGNCCCGCACAAGCGGUGGAGCAUGUGGUUUAAUUCGACGCAACGCGAAGAACCUUACCUACUCUUGACAUCUAGCGAAGAUUGUAGAGAUACGAUUGUGCCUUCGGGAACGCUAAGACAGGUGCUGCAUGGCUGUCGUCAGCUCGUGUUGUGAAAUGUUGGGUUAAGUCCCGCAACGAGCGCAACCCUUAUCCUUAGUUGCCAGCACGUAAUGGUGGGAACUCUAGGGAGACUGCCGGUGAUAAACCGGAGGAAGGUGGGGACGACGUCAAG
This 666-nucleotide ribosomal RNA is filed under the name uncultured prokaryote. RNAcentral describes it as "bacterial SSU rRNA". It matches the Rfam family "Bacterial small subunit ribosomal RNA", at positions 524 to 1189 of the family's 1533-position model. The record is from RNAcentral.